This 583-nucleotide ribosomal RNA is filed under the name Fusarium oxysporum. RNAcentral describes it as "eukaryotic LSU rRNA". The stretch from base 218 to 371 matches the Rfam family "5.8S ribosomal RNA". Lineage: Eukaryota; Fungi; Ascomycota; Sordariomycetes; Hypocreales; Nectriaceae. The record is from RNAcentral.
CUUGGUCAUUUAGAGGAAGUAAAAGUCGUAACAAGGUCUCCGUUGGUGAACCAGCGGAGGGAUCAUUACCGAGUUUACAACUCCCAAACCCCUGUGAACAUACCACUUGUUGCCUCGGCGGAUCAGCCCGCUCCCGGUAAAACGGGACGGCCCGCCAGAGGACCCCUAAAACUCUGUUUCUAUAUGUAACUUCUGAGUAAAACCAUAAAUAAAUCAAAACUUUCAACAACGGAUCUCUUGGCUCUGGCAUCGAUGAAGAACGCAGCAAAAUGCGAUAAGUAAUGUGAAUUGCAGAAUUCAGUGAAUCAUCGAAUCUUUGAACGCACAUUGCGCCCGCCAGUAUUCUGGCGGGCAUGCCUGUUCGAGCGUCAUUUCAACCCUCAAGCACAGCUUGGUGUUGGGACUCGCGUUAAUUCGCGUUCCUCAAAUUGAUUGGCGGUCACGUCGAGCUUCCAUAGCGUAGUAGUAAAACCCUCGUUACUGGUAAUCGUCGCGGCCACGCCGUUAAACCCCAACUUCUGAAUGUUGACCUCGGAUCAGGUAGGAAUACCCGCUGAACUUAAGCAUAUCAAUAAGCGGAGGA